AUGAACGCUAGCGGCAGGCCUAAUACAUGCAAGUCGAACGCUCAGUAGCAAUACUGGGAGUGGCGCACGGGUGCGUAACGCGUACACAAUCUACCUCUAAGCGGGGGACACCUCCUGGAAACGGGGAUUAAUACCGCAUAAUAUGCCGAGGUCGCAUGACUUUGGUAUUAAAGCAGCAAUGCACUUAGAGAUGAGUGUGCGUCCCAUUAGGUAGUUGGUGAGGUAACGGCUCACCAAGCCUAUGAUGGGUAGCCGGUCUGAGAGGAUGGUCGGCCACACGGGCACUGAGACACGGGCCCGACUCCUACGGGAGGCAGCAGUAAGGAAUAUUGGUCAAUGGUGGAAACACUGAACCAGCCAUGCCGCGUGGAGGAAUAAGGUACUACGGAUUGUAAACUCCUUUUGACGAGGAAGAAAGUGUUAGAUUUAUCUAAUUUUGACGGUACUCGUAGAAUAAGCACCGGCUAACUCCGUG
Molecule: ribosomal RNA, 475 nt
Filed under: uncultured bacterium
Lineage: Bacteria
Description: bacterial SSU rRNA
Rfam family: Bacterial small subunit ribosomal RNA
Source: RNAcentral